GUAGGUGGCAAGCGUUGUCCGGAAUUAUUGGGCGUAAAGCGCGCGCAGGCGGUUCUUUAAGUCUGAUGUGAAAGCCCACGGCUCAACCGUGGAGGGUCAUUGGAAACUGGAGGACUUGAGUACAGAAGAGGAAAGCGGAAUUCCACGUGUAGCGGUGAAAUGCGUAGAGAUGUGGAGGAACACCAGUGGCGAAGGCGGCUUUCUGGUCUGUAACUGACGCUGAGGCGCGAAAGCGUGGGGGAGCAAACAGGAUUAGAUACCCUGGUAGUCCACGCCGUAAACGAUGAGUGCUAAGUGUUAGGGGGUUUUCCGCCCCGUUAGUGCUGCAGCUAACGCAUUAAGCACUCCGCCUGGGAGUACGGCCGCAAGGCUG
RNAcentral lists this ribosomal RNA (373 nucleotides) under uncultured organism. Its description in RNAcentral is "partial 16S ribosomal RNA". It matches the Rfam family "Bacterial small subunit ribosomal RNA", at positions 527 to 896 of the family's 1533-position model. The record is from RNAcentral.